UCUUUUUCGCCUCUCUAUCUGUAGUCGUCGUCGUCUAUACUUGACACACAACAACCACAAAAAGCCUUCGCAUUCAUGAUUCCUUCACGCAUGCGAUGAUGCAAUGAAAAAUUGUGGUUUGGGGUUCGGUCGAAAUUACUCUGCGCAAAAAAAACCCUAAUUCAUGGCAGUUUCUCUGACUUUGCCCGAGCUAUUUUUACUAUCUCCACAAAAAACUCCCACACACCGGCUUUUUCUCUCUAAAACUUCCCUUUCUAGAGGCCUUAGGCGCAGUCUCGAUGUUCGGACUCGUAUUAGGGCCGUGAGUAAGGAAGGUGCGCUGGUCGAAGAUAGAGAGAGACAGUUGAUCAAGGAAUUGAACAAGGGAAAUGGAGCUGCUAGUGCUAUUACCGGUGAUUCUAGGUACGGUGUGCCGGUUGAGAGCUCCUCGAAUGGCAGUGUGGGCGUGUCUGCGCCAGGAAAUGGGAGCUUGGUGAAGUAUGUGAACGGGAAUGGCGUGACCGCGGGGGAGUUGGUGGAGGAGGUUGAAGAUCCGGCGUCGAAGGAGGAAGGGAGGAAGAGAAGGAUAGAGGAGAUUGGUAAAGAAGAUGCGUGGUUCAAGCGAAUCGGGAAAGAAUCCAUUGAGGUUUCUGUUGCACCUGGUGGCCGCUGGAGUAGAUUUAAAACCUACUCAACAAUACAGAGGACCUUGGAAAUAUGGGGAUUCGUACUGACAUUUAUCUUUAAGGCUUGGCUGAACAAUCAAAAGUUUUCUUAUCGAGGAGGAAUGACAGAAAAGAAGAAAGCUUCAAGGCGGCAGGCUCUUGCCAAGUGGCUUAAAGAAAGUAUUUUGAGAUUAGGUCCUACAUUCAUCAAAAUUGGCCAGCAGUUCUCGACGAGGGUGGACAUUCUUGCUCAAGAAUAUGUUGAUCAGUUGUCAGAACUUCAGGACCAAGUUCCACCCUUCCCUUCGGAGACUGCUUUGUCUAUAGUUGAAGAACAACUUGGAGCUCCUUUGAAUGACAUUUUUGAUCGUUUUGACUAUGAACCAAUAGCUGCUGCUAGUCUUGGUCAGGUUCAUCGUGCAAGAUUGAAGGGAGAGGAAGUUGUUGUUAAAGUACAAAGGCCUGGUCUCAAGGAUCUUUUUGACAUUGACCUUAAAAACCUGAGGGUAAUCGCAGAAUAUCUCCAAAAGGUUGACCCAAAGUCAGAUGGCGCGAAGAGGGAUUGGGUUGCUAUCUAUGAUGAGUGUGCUAGUGUCUUAUAUCAGGAGAUUGAUUACACCAAGGAAGCUGCAAAUGCAGAACUAUUUGCAAGUAACUUCAAAAAUAUGGAUUAUGUGAAAGUUCCAUCAAUAUUUUGGGAGUAUACGACACCACAGGUUUUGACAAUGGAGUAUGUUCCAGGGAUCAAGAUAAACAAGAUACAAGCUUUGGAUCAGCUGGGUGUUGAUCGCCAAAGGUUGGGUCGCUAUGCUGUUGAAUCGUACUUGGAACAAAUUCUGUCUCAUGGUUUUUUCCAUGCUGAUCCUCAUCCCGGAAACAUUGCGGUUGAUGAUGUCAAUGGUGGAAGGUUGAUUUUUUAUGAUUUUGGAAUGAUGGGAAGUAUCAGUAAAAAUAUAAGAGAAGGUUUGCUUGAAACAUUCUACGGAGUUUAUGAAAAAAAUCCAGAUAAGGUCCUUCAGGCAAUGAUUCAAAUGGGAGUUCUUGUGCCAACUGGAGAUAUGACUGCUGUCAGACGAACAGCACUGUUUUUCCUCAACAGUUUUGAAGAGCGGCUUGCUGCACAAAGAAAAGAAAGAGAGCUAGCAACAAUAGAGCCUGGGUUUAAAAAGCCAUUGAGCAAGGAGGAAAGAGUAAUGAAAAAGAAACAAAGGCUGGCUGCAAUUGGGGAAGAUUUGUUAGCCAUUGCAGCAGAUCAACCUUUUCGAUUUCCUGCCACAUUCACAUUUGUUGUUAGAGCAUUUUCAGUUUUGGAUGGCAUUGGGAAGGGCCUUGACCCUCGAUUUGAUAUCACUGAGAUUGCCAAGCCCUAUGCACUGGAGUUGUUAAAGUUUAAGGAAGCUGGAGUUGAAGUUAUCCUGAAGGAUGUCAGAAAGAGAUGGGAUAGACAAUCCCGUGCAUUCUACAACUUAUUCAGACAGGCCGACAGAGUUGAAAAGCUUGCAGAAAUUAUCCAACGAUUGGAGCAAGGUGAUCUGAAACUUCGAGUUCGCACAUUAGAGUCUGAGCGGGCAUUCCAGCGUGUUGCAGCUGUUCAGAGGACAAUAGGGAAUGCAGUAGCAGCUGGGAGCCUGAUAAACCUUGCAACAAUUUUGUAUUUAAACUCCAUAAGAGUGCCUGCAACUAUAGCAUAUGCCUUCUGUGCACUUUUUGGCUUUCAAGUUCUAUUUGGUAUUAUAAAGGUCAGAAAACUAGACGAACAGGAAAGGUUGGUGACAGGAACUGCUUAGGCAACUGCAUAUUGGAAGUACCUGGAAGUACCUGGACGGAAUGGAAGAAUGUGAAUACACAUGGGAUAAUGGCCUUAUGGGAGAAGUUUGUGUAUACAGACCAUACCAUAUGUAGAGUGGAGACCCAGCUCAUAUAAGGUUCUCUGAUUACCCAAGUCAGCUGUUCAAUCGACAGAAGAACGUUAGCUUAAAGGAGCAUAUCAUGAAGGUUUAUGUUACCAUCAGUACAAGCUAGAACUUCCGACUUCUUGAUUUAUGUUAAAAUAGGAAAAACCGAAGGCUGAACAUUUGCGCUUUAUUCUUCAAAUGCUUACUUAUAGGGAGAUUCAAAAUUGUAAUUAGGUCAGCUAAAGCCGAUGGGCAUAAAUGACAGCUUUCAGCCCCAAUGAGUUAAAUUUGUAACAAUUUCAAUGGUAGAUGUUGGCAUUGAAGCCCCCCAUCAUAUUUUACAGGAUGGAUAUCUACUGACUACCAGUGUUAUAUAAUUUUGUAAGAUAAGAAAAUGAUUCAAUAAAAUGUGCGCCCCCCCUUUUUUGUUGAUUCAA
This is an RNA transcript of Carya illinoinensis, 2976 nucleotides long. It is a transcript of the gene named protein ACTIVITY OF BC1 COMPLEX KINASE 8, chloroplastic-like, with no coding region annotated. The transcript has 22 exons. Lineage: Eukaryota; Viridiplantae; Streptophyta; Magnoliopsida; Fagales; Juglandaceae. The record is from RefSeq and is a predicted model, not a curated record.